RNAcentral lists this ribosomal RNA (603 nucleotides) under Salmonella enterica. RNAcentral's name for it is "partial 23S ribosomal RNA". It matches the Rfam family "Bacterial large subunit ribosomal RNA", at positions 2211 to 2813 of the family's 2925-position model. RNAcentral also lists the same sequence under 2 other names. The record is from RNAcentral. Lineage: Bacteria; Pseudomonadati; Pseudomonadota; Gammaproteobacteria; Enterobacterales; Enterobacteriaceae.
UGUUUGAUGUUCUAACGUGGACCCGUGAUCCGGGUUGCGGACAGUGUCUGGUGGGUAGUUUGACUGGGGCGGUCUCCUCCUAAAGAGUAACGGAGGAGCACGAAGGUUGGCUAAUCCUGGUCGGACAUCAGGAGGUUAGUGCAAUGGCAUAAGCCAGCUUGACUGCGAGCGUGACGGCGCGAGCAGGUGCGAAAGCAGGUCAUAGUGAUCCGGUGGUUCUGAAUGGAAGGGCCAUCGCUCAACGGAUAAAAGGUACUCCGGGGAUAACAGGCUGAUACCGCCCAAGAGUUCAUAUCGACGGCGGUGUUUGGCACCUCGAUGUCGGCUCAUCACAUCCUGGGGCUGAAGUAGGUCCCAAGGGUAUGGCUGUUCGCCAUUUAAAGUGGUACGCGAGCUGGGUUUAGAACGUCGUGAGACAGUUCGGUCCCUAUCUGCCGUGGGCGCUGGAGAACUGAGGGGGGCUGCUCCUAGUACGAGAGGACCGGAGUGGACGCAUCACUGGUGUUCGGGUUGUCAUGCCAAUGGCACUGCCCGGUAGCUAAAUGCGGAAGAGAUAAGUGCUGAAAGCAUCUAAGCACGAAACUUGCCCCGAGAUGAGUUCUC